RNAcentral lists this small nuclear RNA (107 nucleotides) under Vulpes vulpes (red fox). Lineage: Eukaryota; Metazoa; Chordata; Mammalia; Carnivora; Canidae. The record is from RNAcentral.
GUGCACGCUUUGACAGCAUAUAUACUAAAAUUAGCAGGAUACAGAUAAGAUUAGCAUGGCCUCUGCAUAAGAAUGACAUGCAAAAAGUGCAUAAACAGCCAUUAUGG